This is a non-coding RNA of Myodes glareolus (Bank vole), 755 nucleotides long. The record is from RefSeq and is a predicted model, not a curated record. NCBI's taxonomy places the organism in Eukaryota, Metazoa, Chordata, Mammalia, Rodentia, Cricetidae.
AUGGAUCAUGGCCGUCCAGCUGAUGGGCCUGAGAACCUGGAAUUCAGCUCCUUCCUGUUCUGGAGAAACCAUCUGCCUAACACUGAUCGUGACCUGCAGGAUUACCUGAUUGACAGAAGGGGAAAAGAGGAAGAGGAGAAUGAAUUUGAAGGCAGUGAUGACCCCCAGCAACAUCAAGCAGAUCCAGCAGGAGUUGGGGCAGUGUGACAUCCCAAAGGACGUAUGGGUUGGGUGUGUGACCACAGACUUAGCCAUGCAGAAUGUUCUGCUUCAGAUGGGGCUGCACGUGCUGGCAGAAAAUGGUGUGCUGAUCCUAGAGGCCCGGAGCUACAUCUUACACUGUCAUGGCUGCUUCAAGACAAUGUUGGACAUGAAUUGAGUGUUCUGUGGGCAUUGUGGGAACAAGACCCUGAGGAAAGUGUCAGUGAUUGUCAAUGAUGAUGGUACCUUGCAUAUGCAUUUCUCCUGAAACCCCAAGGUGCUGAACCCUCGAGGCCUCCAGUAUCCACUGCCCACUCCCAAAGGAGGUAAAUAUGCCAUCAACCCACCUCUGACUGAAGAUCAGCGCUUCCUCAGCUGUGACUCUCCUACAGAAGACCAACGUGUUUGCCCCUGACUACAUAGCUGGGGUGUCUCCUUUUGCAGAAAAUGACAUCUCCAGCCGCUCAGUCACCCUGCAGGUCCAGGAUGGCACCUUAAGGCUGAGAUGCUUAAAUUCCGGUGCUUCCAGAAAGAUGUUUGUAAAGAAAAGGUGA